RNAcentral lists this ribosomal RNA (1479 nucleotides) under Streptococcus thermophilus. RNAcentral describes it as "bacterial SSU rRNA". It matches the Rfam family "Bacterial small subunit ribosomal RNA". The record is from RNAcentral. Lineage: Bacteria; Bacillati; Bacillota; Bacilli; Lactobacillales; Streptococcaceae.
GCUUCAUGCUCUGAUGCGUCGUGACAGUACCAUGCUGAGAGAGGAGCUUGCUCUUCUUGGAUGAGUUGCGAACGGGUGAGUAACGCGUAGGUAACCUGCCUUGUAGCGGGGGAUAACUAUUGGAAACGAUAGCUAAUACCGCAUAACAAUGGAUGACACAUGUCAUUUAUUUGAAAGGGGCAAUUGCUCCACUACAAGAUGGACCUGCGUUGUAUUAGCUAGUAGGUGAGGUAAUGGCUCACCUAGGCGACGAUACAUAGCCGACCUGAGAGGGUGAUCGGCCACACUGGGACUGAGACACGGCCCAGACUCCUACGGGAGGCAGCAGUAGGGAAUCUUCGGCAAUGGGGGCAACCCUGACCGAGCAACGCCGCGUGAGUGAAGAAGGUUUUCGGAUCGUAAAGCUCUGUUGUAAGUCAAGAACGGGUGUGAGAGUGGAAAGUUCACACUGUGACGGUAGCUUACCAGAAAGGGACGGCUAACUACGUGCCAGCAGCCGCGGUAAUACGUAGGUCCCGAGCGUUGUCCGGAUUUAUUGGGCGUAAAGCGAGCGCAGGCGGUUUGAUAAGUCUGAAGUUAAAGGCUGUGGCUCAACCAUAGUUCGCUUUGGAAACUGUCAAACUUGAGUGCAGAAGGGGAGAGUGGAAUUCCAUGUGUAGCGGUGAAAUGCGUAGAUAUAUGGAGGAACACCGGUGGCGAAAGCGGCUCUCUGGUCUGUAACUGACGCUGAGGCUCGAAAGCGUGGGGAGCGAACAGGAUUAGAUACCCUGGUAGUCCACGCCGUAAACGAUGAGUGCUAGGUGUUGGAUCCUUUCCGGGAUUCAGUGCCGCAGCUAACGCAUUAAGCACUCCGCCUGGGGAGUACGACCGCAAGGUUGAAACUCAAAGGAAUUGACGGGGGCCCGCACAAGCGGUGGAGCAUGUGGUUUAAUUCGAAGCAACGCGAAGAACCUUACCAGGUCUUGACAUCCCGAUGCUAUUUCUAGAGAUAGAAAGUUACUUCGGUACAUCGGUGACAGGUGGUGCAUGGUUGUCGUCAGCUCGUGUCGUGAGAUGUUGGGUUAAGUCCCGCAACGAGCGCAACCCCUAUUGUUAGUUGCCAUCAUUCAGUUGGGCACUCUAGCGAGACUGCCGGUAAUAAACCGGAGGAAGGUGGGGAUGACGUCAAAUCAUCAUGCCCCUUAUGACCUGGGCUACACACGUGCUACAAUGGUUGGUACAACGAGUUGCGAGUCGGUGACGGCGAGCUAAUCUCUUAAAGCCAAUCUCAGUUCGGAUUGUAGGCUGCAACUCGCCUACAUGAAGUCGGAAUCGCUAGUAAUCGCGGAUCAGCACGCCGCGGUGAAUACGUUCCCGGGCCUUGUACACACCGCCCGUCACACCACGAGAGUUUGUAACACCCGAAGUCGGUGAGGUAACCUUUUGGAGCCAGCCGCCUAAGGUGGGACAGAUGAUGAGGGAAGUCGCACUAGCACAAUC